CCUACGGGUGGCAGCAGUGAGGAAUAUUGGUCAAUGGACGAGAGUCUGAACCAGCCAAGUAGCGUGAAGGAUGACUGCCCUAUGGGUUGUAAACUUCUUUUAUAUGGGAAUAAAACAGGGUAUGCAUACCCUCUUGUAUGUACCUUAUGAAUAAGGAUCGGCUAACUCCGUGCCAGCAGCCGCGGUAAUACGGAGGAUCCGAGCGUUAUCCGGAUUUAUUGGGUUUAAAGGGAGCGUAGGUGGAUUGUUAAGUCAGUUGUGAAAGUUUGCGGCUCAACCGUAAAAUUGCAGUUGAAACUGGCAGGCUUGAGUACAGUAGAGGUGGGCGGAAUGCGUGGUGUAGCGGUGAAAUGCUUAGAUAUCACGAAGAACUCCGAUUGCGAAGGCAGCUCGCUGGGCUGCAACUGACACUGAUGCUCGAAAGUGUGGGUAUCAAACAGGAUUAGAUACCCCAGUAGUC
Molecule: ribosomal RNA, 460 nt
Filed under: uncultured bacterium
Lineage: Bacteria
Description: partial 16S ribosomal RNA
Rfam family: Bacterial small subunit ribosomal RNA
Source: RNAcentral